Molecule: ribosomal RNA, 253 nt
Filed under: uncultured bacterium
Lineage: Bacteria
Description: partial 16S ribosomal RNA
Rfam family: Bacterial small subunit ribosomal RNA
Source: RNAcentral
UACGUAGGGUCCGAGCGUUGUCCGGAAUUACUGGGCGUAAAGAGCUCGUAGGUGGUUUGUCACGUUGUUCGUGAAAACCCACAGCUCAACUGUGGGCGUGCGAGCGAUACGGGCAGACUAGAGUACUGCAGGGGAGACUGGAAUUCCUGGUGUAGCGGUGGAAUGCGCAGAUAUCAGGAGGAACACCGGUGGCGAAGGCGGGUUGCUGGGCUGACACUGACGCUGAGGCGCGAAAGCCAGGGGAGCGAACGGG